GAUGAACGCUGGCGGCGUGCCUAAUACAUGCAAGUCGAGCGAACAGAUACGGAGCUUGCUCCUUUGACGUUAGCGGCGGACGGGUGAGUAACGCGUGGAUAACCUACCUAUAAGACUGUGAUAACUUCGGGAAACCGGAGCUAAUACCGGAUAACAUAUUUAACCGCAUGGUUCAAUAGUGAAAGGCGGCUUUGCUGUCCAUUAUAGAUGACUCCGCGGCGUAUUAGAGAGUUGGUAAGGUAACGGCUUACCAAGGCAACGAAACGGAUCCGACCGGAUAGGGUGAUCGGCCACACUGGAACUGAGACACGUUCCAGACUCCUACGGGAGGCAGCAGUAGGGAAUCUUCCGAAAUGGGCGAAAGCCUGACGGAGCAACGCCGCGUGAGUGAUGAAGGUCUUCGGAUCGUAAAACUCUGUUAUCAGGGAAGAACAAAUGUGUAAGUAACUGUGCACAUCUUGACGGUACCUGAUCAGAAAGCCACGGCUAACUACGUGCCAGCAGCCGCAGUAA
RNAcentral lists this ribosomal RNA (513 nucleotides) under uncultured bacterium. RNAcentral describes it as "partial 16S ribosomal RNA". It matches the Rfam family "Bacterial small subunit ribosomal RNA", at positions 28 to 523 of the family's 1533-position model. The record is from RNAcentral.